GUUGGGCGUGCUGGCCUAGUGCCUAUAGUCCUUGGGAGGUUGAGGUGGGAAGAUCACUUGAACCCAGGAGUUCCAGGCUUUAGUGCACUAUGCCAAUCAAGUGUCUGCACUAAAUUCAUCAUCAAUAUAGGAAGCUCCUGGGAGUGGGGGAGUACCAAGUUGCCUGAGGGGUGAAGUAGCCUUGGUUGGAAACAGAGCAGGUCAAAACUCCUAAGCUCAUCAGUGCUGGAGUCACACGUAUGAAUAGCCACUGUACUGCAGCCUGGGCAACAUAAUGAGACCCUGUCUCGGU
Unclassified non-coding RNA from Callithrix jacchus (white-tufted-ear marmoset), 292 nucleotides. It matches the Rfam family "Metazoan signal recognition particle RNA". From Rfam's summary of the family: The signal recognition particle (SRP) is a universally conserved ribonucleoprotein. It is involved in the co-translational targeting of proteins to membranes. Lineage: Eukaryota; Metazoa; Chordata; Mammalia; Primates; Cebidae. The record is from Ensembl.